Molecule: ribosomal RNA, 464 nt
Filed under: uncultured bacterium
Lineage: Bacteria
Description: partial 16S ribosomal RNA
Rfam family: Bacterial small subunit ribosomal RNA
Source: RNAcentral
CUACGGGGGGCACCAGUGGGGAAUAUUGCACAAUGGGCGCAAGCCUGAUGCAGCCAUGCCGCGUGUAUGAAGAAGGCCUUCGGGUUGUAAAGUACUUUCAGCAGGGAGGAAGGGAGUAAAGUUAAUACCUUUGCUCAUUGACGUUACCCGCAGAAGAAGCACCGGCUAACUCCGUGCCAGCAGCCGCGGUAAUACGGAGGGUGCAAGCGUUAAUCGGAAUUACUGGGCGUAAAGCGCACGCAGGCGGUUUGUUAAGUCAGAUGUGAAAUCCCCGGGCUCAACCUGGGAACUGCAUCUGAUACUGGCAAGCUUGAGUCUCGUGGAGGGGGGUAGAAUUCCAGGUGUAGCGGUGAAAUGCGUAGAGAUCUGGAGGAAUACCGGUGGCGAAGGCGGCCCCCUGGACGAAGACUGACGCUCAGGUGCGAAAGCGUGGGGAGCAAACAGGAUUAGAUACCCCCGUAGUC